GCCAGACUCCUACGGGAGGCAGCAGUGGGGAAUAUUGGGCAAUGGGCGCAAGCCUGACCCAGCAACGCCGCGUGAAGGAAGAAGGCUUUCGGGUUGUAAACUUCUUUUAUCAGGGACGAAGCAAGUGACGGUACCUGAUGAAUAAGCCACGGCUAACUACGUGCCAGCAGCCGCGGUAAUACGUAGGUGGCAAGCGUUAUCCGGAUUUACUGGGUGUAAAGGGCGUGUAGGCGGGAGUGCAAGUCAGGUGUGAAAUCUAUGGGCUCAACCCAUAGCCUGCAUUUGAAACUGUACUUCUUGAGUGCUGGAGAGGCAAUCGGAAUUCCGUGUGUAGCGGUGAAAUGCGUAGAUAUACGGAGGAACACCAGUGGCGAAGGCGGAUUGCUGGACAGUAACUGACGCUGAGGCGCGAAAGCGUGGGGAGCAAACAGGAUUAGAUACCCCCGUAC
RNAcentral lists this ribosomal RNA (449 nucleotides) under uncultured bacterium. Its description in RNAcentral is "bacterial SSU rRNA". It matches the Rfam family "Bacterial small subunit ribosomal RNA", at positions 330 to 793 of the family's 1533-position model. The record is from RNAcentral.